This 2925-nucleotide ribosomal RNA is filed under the name Escherichia coli. RNAcentral's name for it is "23S ribosomal RNA". It matches the Rfam family "Bacterial large subunit ribosomal RNA". Lineage: Bacteria; Pseudomonadati; Pseudomonadota; Gammaproteobacteria; Enterobacterales; Enterobacteriaceae. The record is from RNAcentral.
GGGUUGUGAGGUUAAGCGACUAAGCGUACACGGUGGAUGCCCUGGCAGUCAGAGGCGAUGAAGGACGUGCUAAUCUGCGAUAAGCGUCGGUAAGGUGAUAUGAACCGUUAUAACCGGCGAUUUCCGAAUGGGGAAACCCAGUGUGUUUCGACACACUAUCAUUAACUGAAUCCAUAGGUUAAUGAGGCGAACCGGGGGAACUGAAACAUCUAAGUACCCCGAGGAAAAGAAAUCAACCGAGAUUCCCCCAGUAGCGGCGAGCGAACGGGGAGCAGCCCAGAGCCUGAAUCAGUGUGUGUGUUAGUGGAAGCGUCUGGAAAGGCGCGCGAUACAGGGUGACAGCCCCGUACACAAAAAUGCACAUACUGUGAGCUCGAUGAGUAGGGCGGGACACGUGGUAUCCUGUCUGAAUAUGGGGGGACCAUCCUCCAAGGCUAAAUACUCCUGACUGACCGAUAGUGAACCAGUACCGUGAGGGAAAGGCGAAAAGAACCCCGGCGAGGGGAGUGAAAAAGAACCUGAAACCGUGUACGUACAAGCAGUGGGAGCCUCUUUAUGGGGUGACUGCGUACCUUUUGUAUAAUGGGUCAGCGACUUAUAUUCUGUAGCAAGGUUAACCGAAUAGGGGAGCCGAAGGGAAACCGAGUCUUAACUGGGCGUUAAGUUGCAGGGUAUAGACCCGAAACCCGGUGAUCUAGCCAUGGGCAGGUUGAAGGUUGGGUAACACUAACUGGAGGACCGAACCGACUAAUGUUGAAAAAUUAGCGGAUGACUUGUGGCUGGGGGUGAAAGGCCAAUCAAACCGGGAGAUAGCUGGUUCUCCCCGAAAGCUAUUUAGGUAGCGCCUCGUGAAUUCAUCUCCGGGGGUAGAGCACUGUUUCGGCAAGGGGGUCAUCCCGACUUACCAACCCGAUGCAAACUGCGAAUACCGGAGAAUGUUAUCACGGGAGACACACGGCGGGUGCUAACGUCCGUCGUGAAGAGGGAAACAACCCAGACCGCCAGCUAAGGUCCCAAAGUCAUGGUUAAGUGGGAAACGAUGUGGGAAGGCCCAGACAGCCAGGAUGUUGGCUUAGAAGCAGCCAUCAUUUAAAGAAAGCGUAAUAGCUCACUGGUCGAGUCGGCCUGCGCGGAAGAUGUAACGGGGCUAAACCAUGCACCGAAGCUGCGGCAGCGACACUGUGUGUUGUUGGGUAGGGGAGCGUUCUGUAAGCCUGCGAAGGUGUACUGUGAGGUAUGCUGGAGGUAUCAGAAGUGCGAAUGCUGACAUAAGUAACGAUAAAGCGGGUGAAAAGCCCGCUCGCCGGAAGACCAAGGGUUCCUGUCCAACGUUAAUCGGGGCAGGGUGAGUCGACCCCUAAGGCGAGGCCGAAAGGCGUAGUCGAUGGGAAACAGGUUAAUAUUCCUGUACUUGGUGUUACUGCGAAGGGGGGACGGAGAAGGCUAUGUUGGCCGGGCGACGGUUGUCCCGGUUUAAGCGUGUAGGCUGAUUUUCCAGGCAAAUCCGGAAAAUCAAGGCUGAGGCGUGAUGACGAGGCACUACGGUGCUGAAGCAACAAAUGCCCUGCUUCCAGGAAAAGCCUCUAAGCAUCAGGUAACAUCAAAUCGUACCCCAAACCGACACAGGUGGUCAGGUAGAGAAUACCAAGGCGCUUGAGAGAACUCGGGUGAAGGAACUAGGCAAAAUGGUGCCGUAACUUCGGGAGAAGGCACGCUGAUAUGUAGGUGAAGUCCCUCGCGGAUGGAGCUGAAAUCAGUCGAAGAUACCAGCUGGCUGCAACUGUUUAUUAAAAACACAGCACUGUGCAAACACGAAAGUGGACGUAUACGGUGUGACGCCUGCCCGGUGCCGGAAGGUUAAUUGAUGGGGUUAGCGGUAACGCGAAGCUCUUGAUCGAAGCCCCGGUAAACGGCGGCCGUAACUAUAACGGUCCUAAGGUAGCGAAAUUCCUUGUCGGGUAAGUUCCGACCUGCACGAAUGGCGUAAUGAUGGCCAGGCUGUCUCCACCCGAGACUCAGUGAAAUUGAACUCGCUGUGAAGAUGCAGUGUACCCGCGGCAAGACGGAAAGACCCCGUGAACCUUUACUAUAGCUUGACACUGAACAUUGAGCCUUGAUGUGUAGGAUAGGUGGGAGGCUUUGAAGUGUGGACGCCAGUCUGCAUGGAGCCGACCUUGAAAUACCACCCUUUAAUGUUUGAUGUUCUAACGUUGGCCCCUGAUCGGGGUUGCGGACAGUGUCUGGUGGGUAGUUUGACUGGGGCGGUCUCCUCCUAAAGAGUAACGGAGGAGCACGAAGGUUGGCUAAUCCUGGUCGGACAUCAGGAGGUUAGUGCAAUGGCAUAAGCCAGCUUGACUGCGAGCGUGACGGCGCGAGCAGGUGCGAAAGCAGGUCAUAGUGAUCCGGUGGUUCUGAAUGGAAGGGCCAUCGCUCAACGGAUAAAAGGUACUCCGGGGAUAACAGGCUGAUACCGCCCAAGAGUUCAUAUCGACGGCGGUGUUUGGCACCUCGAUGUCGGCUCAUCACAUCCUGGGGCUGAAGUAGGUCCCAAGGGUAUGGCUGUUCGCCAUUUAAAGUGGUACGCGAGCUGGGUUUAGAACGUCGUGAGACAGUUCGGUCCCUAUCUGCCGUGGGCGCUGGAGAACUGAGGGGGGCUGCUCCUAGUACGAGAGGACCGGAGUGGACGCAUCACUGGUGUUCGGGUUGUCAUGCCAAUGGCACUGCCCGGUAGCUAAAUGCGGAAGAGAUAAGUGCUGAAAGCAUCUAAGCACGAAACUUGCCCCGAGAUGAGUUCUCCCUGACUCCUUGAGAGUCCUGAAGGAACGUUGAAGACGACGACGUUGAUAGGCCGGGUGUGUAAGCGCAGCGAUGCGUUGAGCUAACCGGUACUAAUGAACCGUGAGGCUUAACCUUACAACGCCGAAG